Molecule: ribosomal RNA, 208 nt
Filed under: uncultured bacterium
Lineage: Bacteria
Description: partial 16S ribosomal RNA
Rfam family: Bacterial small subunit ribosomal RNA
Source: RNAcentral
CGCGCAGGCGGGCCGGCAAGUUGGAAGUGAAAUCCGGGGGCUUAACCCCCGAACCUGCUUUCAAAACUGCUGGUCUUGAGUGAUGGAGAGGCAGGCGGAAUUCCGUGUGUAGCGGUGAAAUGCGUAGAUAUACGGAGGAACACCAGUGGCGAAGGCGGCCUGCUGGACAUUAACUGACGCUGAGGCGCGAAAGCGUGGGGAGCAAACA